GCCUGUCUAGCUCAGUCGGUAGAGCGCAAGGCUCUUAACCUUGUGGUCCUGGGUUCAAGUCCCAGGGUGGGCG
This 73-nucleotide transfer RNA is filed under the name Ipomoea nil (Japanese morning glory). It matches the Rfam family "tRNA". From Rfam's summary of the family: Transfer RNA (tRNA) molecules are approximately 80 nucleotides in length. The record is from Rfam by way of RNAcentral. Lineage: Eukaryota; Viridiplantae; Streptophyta; Magnoliopsida; Solanales; Convolvulaceae.